GAUUGCUUCCAGCUUGACCAAGCUCAGGCUGGCAAGCCCUCGAUCGAGGGACCCAGCGCCCAACGCUUUCCUGGAGUGGAGGUAUUUUAUGCCUUAAGCUGAUCAGCGUUGGGGAAGAUGAAGCACGCAAACUGCCUUGAAAUAUUUAUGAAGCUAUUUUAGCAAAAGGAGCAGAAGAAAAGAUACACACAAACCACAUACCCCAACUGAUGAGGAAUAGGAUUCAAGGGGCAUGAUCCUCUCGGUGUCAGCUAGAGUCCCAGCAGGAGACAGAAACCACACGGAAACCAGCUCCAUCCUGUCUCCAAACUCCAGACUCCCGGAGGAGAGACCUGGAAAGGCUGGGAACACCCCCAGUGCACCCCUGCCCUGAGGUCUUGCCGUUGGGCCUGGAUGCAAACGGUGAUUGAUGGCAACUGAAACCGUAGGAGGCUUGGGGGAAUGUAGCUGUGGAACAGUUCACGUCCUACUGCUCAACAAAUCUGGCUGCUCACUGUCAUAAUAAUGAAGAAUGGGAAGAAAUCCACAUGCCCUCCAAAAUUAAAAGAAAGGAAAAACAACUGAAAAGCCAAGAUUCCAUGUAACCGCUGUAUGAAUCCUGUUGCAGGAAAAUGUCCCAUGGCUCCAGCAAAUACUUCCCCUUUAAUUUUAAGUUAAAAAUUUGUCCGCUUACGUACACAUUCACAUAUGAACAAACAUUUGAAGAUCUUAUACCAAGUAUUAAUGAUGCUUGUGGUGAGGUGAUAGGCUACAGCAAAUGUAAUGAC
Molecule: long non-coding RNA, 767 nt
Organism: Phacochoerus africanus (Common warthog)
Lineage: Eukaryota; Metazoa; Chordata; Mammalia; Artiodactyla; Suidae
Exons: 4
Source: RefSeq, a predicted model, not a curated record